This 248-nucleotide ribosomal RNA is filed under the name uncultured Glomus. RNAcentral's name for it is "partial small subunit ribosomal RNA". It matches the Rfam family "Eukaryotic small subunit ribosomal RNA", at positions 846 to 1098 of the family's 1831-position model. Lineage: Eukaryota; Fungi; Glomeromycota; Glomeromycetes; Glomerales; Glomeraceae. The record is from RNAcentral.
GGUUUCUAAGAUCGACGUAAUGAUUAAUAGGGAUAUUGGGGGCAUUAGUAUUCAAUUGUCAGAGGUGAAAUUCUUGGAUUUAUUGAAGACUAACUACUGCGAAAGCAUUUGCCAAGGAUGUUUUCAUUAAUCAGGAACGAAAGCUAGGGGAUCGAAGACGAUCAGAUACCGUCCUAGUCUUAACCAUAAACUAUGCCGACUAGGGAUCGGAGGCGCGCUAUAUCCGCCUUCGGCGCCUUACGGGAAAC